Molecule: long non-coding RNA, 683 nt
Filed under: Homo sapiens (human)
Lineage: Eukaryota; Metazoa; Chordata; Mammalia; Primates; Hominidae
Description: T cell receptor gamma locus antisense RNA 1
Source: RNAcentral
GAGAGCUCAGGCCUGCAGCAGAGGGAGUGCAGAUGUGGGGGAAGCUGACCCUGGAGUUAACAGGCUCAGACCUUAAAGGGGGUAGUCUCACAGCAGGUUCACACCCAGCACUUCAGAGUUUCAGCAAGUAAGGCAACUGCAAGACCCUCAUUCUGCCGGGAAGCUUCUGAUUAGGGCCCUAAACCACCAUCCUUUUCACAUCUGCAAGGACACUAGAGGCAACACCCAGGGUCACUCUGAGAGGGCCUGAACCUGCUUUAUUAACAGGAUCGAGGGUCAGAUACAACAAAGAGAGGACAAUACUGGCACUAGACUGAAAAGAUUCAUGGAACACAGUGGAAAGUCCAGAAAGAGAGCCACGUGACCGAAGUAAGUCGUGAUGCAGGAAAUGAGUGCGUUUCACAGCUUGCUGAGCCCCUACUCGACCCAGGAAGCCCAGCUGGCCCCUCCUCUCAACAGGAGUGAGAAUCAGACUCAUGGAGGCAACCACUCAAGGUCACUCUGAGAAGGGUUGAACGUGCUUUAUUAAAAGGACUGAGGAUCAUGUGUGUUGGUGUGUCCCGGAGUCUGCUCUAAGGUAAAUAUGUGUGUGUGUGUGUUGGGGGGGCAGGGGUUGUGCCUGUAAUCCUGUGUGUGUGACCUCCUUAUUAGAGGAUUUUUGUUCAUUAAAGUAGGAGUGUGAA